Lutra lutra (Eurasian river otter) is the source of this 969-nucleotide long non-coding RNA. RefSeq lists it as uncharacterized. The record is from RefSeq and is a predicted model, not a curated record. The transcript has 3 exons. Lineage: Eukaryota; Metazoa; Chordata; Mammalia; Carnivora; Mustelidae.
GAAAAGUAGCUCCACAUCUCUCUUCAGCACUCUGAUAUUGUCAGCCUAUUCCUCUAGCCAGAGCCUAUCAGAAACUAGAAAUAAGAAAGUAUGAAAAUGGAGUCUACAAGGGUUAGAAGCUCUUUUACCUCAGGCAUGGUACAGUAAAAGGAUGGAGACUAGAUAUGUGUGAAAGUGGUGGGCUGAAGGAAACAAACACAGUUUGUUAGCCUAGUAAAACAGGAUGGGAUUUUUUUUCCUAUAAAUGACCUUAUAGUACAUACUUGGGCUUAGUGGACCAGAGUCUCUGUAGCAACUACUCAACCAUGACUAUAUAAAGAAAAACCAGCUCUAGAUAAUACAUAAGUGAAUAGUUUGAUUUUGGACUUGGUGGAUGUGAUGAUGACUCAUCUUUGACCAUGCAGAGAAAAACAAUGUCCUAGAGAAUAGUGGGAUAAUAAAGUAUAACUAGCCUGUGUUGCUAGCACCUUGGAGCUACCCUGAGAGUCCCAUGGUUAGUUAUUCUGAUUUUAGUGAGCUGCCACAUGGAGAGGCUAUCUGUCAAGAAAGAGGGUUGUUUCCAGUCAAAAGUGGCAAGGAAAUGAGGCCCUAGGCCAACAACCUUCAAGAAAUUUGAAGCCUAGCAACAACCACAACCUACAACCACAGUUUGGAUGAGGAUCCUUCCCCACUUGUAUCUUCAGAUGAGAUCUCAGCCCUAAAUGACGCUUUGAUUGUAAAAGACCCUGAAGCAGAGGACCCAUCUUAAUCAUGUCUGUAUUUCUGACCCAAGGAAACUGUGAGAUAAUAUAGGUGUGUGUUGCUUUAACUCACUAAGUGUGUAUUAACUUAUUAUAUAAUAAUAGAUAACUAAUAUCAUUACCAAUUUAUUAGCAAAACCUGGGACGUAGGUCAAGAAAUAGUUUUAUUUUUAUUUAGCAAGGAGAAAACCAAGUUUCUGAUAAGUUAUGUUAAUGAACCCAGGGUUAU